UACGAAGGGUGCGAGCGUUAUUCGGAAUGAUUGGGCGUAAAGGGUGCGCAGACGGUUUGUUAAGUCAGCUGUUAAAUUUCCCGGCCUAACCGGGAGCUCGCAGCAGAAACUGGCGAACUAGAGGAUGGAAGAGAGAAGUGGAAUUCUCGGAGUAGCGGUAAAAUGCGUAGAUCUCGAGAGGAACACCGAUGGCGAAGGCAGCUUCUUGGUCCAUUUCUGACGUUCAGGCACGAAAGCGUGGGGAGCAAACAGG
This 253-nucleotide ribosomal RNA is filed under the name uncultured bacterium. Its description in RNAcentral is "partial 16S ribosomal RNA". It matches the Rfam family "Bacterial small subunit ribosomal RNA", at positions 524 to 776 of the family's 1533-position model. The record is from RNAcentral.